UACGCCGAAAGUACUUGUCUGGAGACGGACUGGGAGGAUAGGGCGUUGCUGGUU
RNAcentral lists this ribosomal RNA (54 nucleotides) under Pseudoselenomonas ruminantium. Lineage: Bacteria; Bacillati; Bacillota; Negativicutes; Selenomonadales; Selenomonadaceae. The record is from RNAcentral.